Molecule: ribosomal RNA, 479 nt
Filed under: uncultured bacterium
Lineage: Bacteria
Description: partial 16S ribosomal RNA
Rfam family: Bacterial small subunit ribosomal RNA
Source: RNAcentral
GAUGAACGCUAGCGGGAGGCCUAACACAUGCAAGCCGAGCGGUAUUGUUUCUUCGGAAAUGAGAGAGCGGCGUACGGGUGCGUGACACGUGUGCAACCUGCCUUUAUCUGGGGGAUAGCCUUUCGAAAGGAAGAUUAAUACUCCAUAAUAUAUUGAACGGCAUCGUUUAAUAUUGAAAGCUCCGGCGGAUAGAGAUGGGCACGCGCAAGAUUAGCUAGUUGGUGAGGUAACGGCUCACCAAGGCGAUGAUCUUUAGGGGGCCUGAGAGGGUGAUCCCCCACACUGGUACUGAGACACGGACCAGACUCCUACGGGAGGCAGCAGUGAGGAAUAUUGGUCAAUGGGUGCAAGCCUGAACCAGCCAUCCCGUGUGAAGGACGACUGCCCUAUGGGUUGUAAACUUCUUUUGUAUAGGGAUAAACCUACCCUCGAGAGGGUAGCUGAAGGUACUAUACGAAUAAGCACCGGCUAACUCCGUG